AAACCAACAGGGAUUGCCUCAGUAACGGCGAGUGAAGCGGCAAAAGCUCAAAUUUGAAAUCUGGCUCCUUCGGGGUCCGAGUUGUAAUUUGGAGAGGAUGCUCUGGGAGUGGUCGCGGUCUAAGUCCCCUGGAACGGGGCGUCGCAGAGGGUGAGAAUCCCGUCUUCGGCCGCCGGCUGCAACCGUGUAGAGCUCCUUCGACGAGUCGAGUUGUUUGGGAAUGCAGCUCUAAAUGGGUGGUAAAUUUCAUCUAAAGCUAAAUACUGGUCGGAGACCGAUAGCGCACAAGUAGAGUGAUCGAAAGAUGAAAAGCACUUUGAAAAGAGAGUUAAAAAGCAUGUGAAAUUGUUGAAAGGGAAGCACAUGCGACCAGAGUCGGCCGUGGGGGUUCAGCAGGGGUCCUCCCUGUGUAUUCCCCUGCGUCGGGCCAGCAUCAGUUCUGGCGGCCGGUUAAAGGCUUCGGGAAUGUAUCCUCCUCCGGGAGAACUUAUAGCCCGAGUGCAAUGCGGUCAGCCGGGAC
This 520-nucleotide ribosomal RNA is filed under the name uncultured Ascosphaera. Its description in RNAcentral is "eukaryotic LSU rRNA". It matches the Rfam family "Eukaryotic large subunit ribosomal RNA", at positions 62 to 588 of the family's 3401-position model. The record is from RNAcentral. Lineage: Eukaryota; Fungi; Ascomycota; Eurotiomycetes; Onygenales; Ascosphaeraceae.